AGAGGGGGCAAGCGUUGUUCGGAAUUACUGGGCGUAAAGGGCGCGUAGGCGGCCUUUUAAGUCGAACGUGAAAUCCCUGGGCUCAACCCAGGAACUGCGUCCGAGACUGGAAGGCUCGAAUCCGGGAGAGGGAUGUGGAAUUCCAGGUGUAGCGGUGAAAUGCGUAGAUAUCUGGAGGAACAUCGGUGGCGAAGGCGGCAUCCUGGACCGGUAUUGACGCUGAGGCGCGAAAGCCAGGGGAGCAAACGGGAUUAGAUACCCCGGUAGUCCUGGCCCUAAACGAUGAAUGCUUGGUGUGGCGGGUAUCGAUCCCUGCCGUGCCGAAGCUAACGCAUUAAGCAUUCCGCCUGGGGAGUACGGUCGCAAGGCUG
Molecule: ribosomal RNA, 371 nt
Filed under: uncultured bacterium
Lineage: Bacteria
Description: bacterial SSU rRNA
Rfam family: Bacterial small subunit ribosomal RNA
Source: RNAcentral